Molecule: ribosomal RNA, 253 nt
Filed under: uncultured bacterium
Lineage: Bacteria
Description: partial 16S ribosomal RNA
Rfam family: Bacterial small subunit ribosomal RNA
Source: RNAcentral
UACAGAGGGUGCAAGCGUUAAUCGGCAUUACUGGGCGUAAAGCGUGCGUAGACGGUUAUGUAAGUCGGGUGUGAAAGCCCCGGGCUCAACCUGGGAAUGCCAUUCGAGACUGCAUAGCUAGGGUGCGGAAGAGGGAAGCGGAAUUUCCGGUGUAGCGGUGAAAUGCGUAGAUAUCGGAAGGAACACCAGUGGCGAAAGCGGCUUCCUGGUCCAGCACCGACGUUCAGGCACGAAAGCGUGGGGAGCAAACAGG